Molecule: ribosomal RNA, 253 nt
Filed under: uncultured bacterium
Lineage: Bacteria
Description: partial 16S ribosomal RNA
Rfam family: Bacterial small subunit ribosomal RNA
Source: RNAcentral
UACAGAGGUGGCAAGCGUUGUUCGGAAUUACUGGGCGUAAAGGGCUCGUAGGCGGCCAACUAAGUCGGACGUGAAAUCCCCCGGCUUAACCUGGGAACUGCGUCUGAUACUGGAUGGCUUGAAUCCGGGAGAGGGAUGCAGAAUUCCAGGUGUAGCGGUGAAAUGCGUAGAUAUCUGGAGGAAUACCGGUGGCGAAGGCGGCAUCCUGGACCGGCAUUGACGCUGAGGAGCGAAAGCUAAGGGAGCAAACGGG